This 1403-nucleotide ribosomal RNA is filed under the name metagenome. RNAcentral's name for it is "SSU rRNA". It matches the Rfam family "Eukaryotic small subunit ribosomal RNA", at positions 1 to 1459 of the family's 1831-position model. The record is from RNAcentral.
UCUGGUUGAUCCUGCCAGUAGUCAUAUGCUUGUCUCAAAGAUUAAGCCAUGCAUGUCUAAGUAUAAAUAGUAUACAGUGAAACUGCGAAUGGCUCAUUAAAACAGUUAUAGUUUAUUUGAUAAUUGACAAUUACAUGGAUAACCGUGGUAAUUCUAGAGCUAAUACAUGCUUAAACGCCCGACUUUAUGGAAGGGUGGUAUUUAUUAGACUGAAGCCAAUAUUCCUUGUGUCUAUUGCGGUGAUUCAUAAUAACUGAUCGAAUCUCUUUUUGAGAUAAAUCAUUCAAGUUUCUGCCCUAUCAGCUUUCGAUGGUAGUGUAUUGGACUACCAUGGCAGUAACGGGUAACGAAGAAUUAGGGUUCGAUUUCGGAGAGGGAGCAUGAGAAACGGCUACCACAUCUAAGGAAGGCAGCAGGCGCGUAAAUUACCCAAUCCUGACUCAGGGAGGUAGUGACAAGAAAUAGCAAACCGGGAACCUCAUGGUUUCACGGUAUUGCAAUGAGAACAAUUUAAAACCCUUAGCGAGAAUCAAGUGGAGGACAAGUCUGGUGCCAGCACCCGCGGUAAUUCCAGCUCCACUAGCGUAUAUUAAAGUUGUUGCAGUUAAAAAGCUCGUAGUUGAACCUCUGUCUGGGGCUAGUUUUUGGCUUUGGUCAGGCUAGUUCUAGGCAUCCGCCUACAAGACUUAGAGGGCAUUCAGUUGUUCACUAGGAGGAGUAGGCAUUUUACUUUGAAAAAAUUAGAGUGUUUAAGGCAGGCAAUCGCCCGCAUAUAUUAGCAUGGAAUAAUAGAAUAGGACACUUUUCCAUUUCGUUGGUUAUUGGAAUCGUGUAAUGAUUAAUAGGGACAGUUGUGGGCAUUUGUAUUUAAUUGUCAGAGGUGAAAUUCUUGGAUUUAUUAAAGACAAACUAACGCGAAAGCAUUUGCCAAGGAUGUUUUCAUUAAUCAAGAACGAAAGUUAGGGGAUCAAAGACGAUCAGAUACCGUCCUAGUCUUAACUAUAAACUAUUCCGACUCAAUGUUUGACUGGCUUAUAUAACCAGUUGAGCGUUGUAUGAGAAAUCAAAGUCUUUAGGUUCUGGGGGGAGUAUGGUUGCAAAGCUGAAACUUAAAGGAAUUGACGGAAGAGCACAACCAGGAGUGGAUUCUGCGGCUUAAUUUGACUCAACACGGGGAAACUUACCAGGUUAAAACAAUAGUGGGAUUGACAGUUUGAGAGCGCUUUCUUGAUUGGUUGGGUGGUGGUGCAUGGCCGUUCUUAGUUGGUGGAGUGAUUUGUCUGCUUAAUUGCGUUAACGAACGAGACCUUAACCUGCUUACUAGACUGGCGAUCAUCAAUCGUUAGCUCUUCUUAGAGGGACUUUGGUUGUUUUAACUCCAAGGAAGUUUGUGGCAAUAACAG